GUCAUUUAUCAAAGUUGCGCAUAUUGGCAGAAGAUUUUCUUUAUGGAUUGGAAAAAGGACUGGAGGAAGUAGAAAGGAAGGGUAUAUACCCUCACUACAG
Molecule: long non-coding RNA, 100 nt
Organism: Neltuma alba
Lineage: Eukaryota; Viridiplantae; Streptophyta; Magnoliopsida; Fabales; Fabaceae
Exons: 3
Source: RefSeq, a predicted model, not a curated record